This 198-nucleotide ribosomal RNA is filed under the name uncultured bacterium. Its description in RNAcentral is "partial 16S ribosomal RNA". It matches the Rfam family "Bacterial small subunit ribosomal RNA", at positions 326 to 539 of the family's 1533-position model. The record is from RNAcentral.
ACGCUCGACACCUACGGAAGGCAGCAGUGGGGAAUAUUGCACAAUGGGGGAAACCCUGAUGCAGCGACGCCGCGUGAGCGAAGAAGUAUUUCGGUAUGUAAAGCUCUAUCAGCAGGGAAGAAACUGACGGUACCUGACUAAGAAGCACCGGCUAAAUACGUGCCAGCAGCCACGGUAAUCUGAGCGGGCUGGCAAGGC